Molecule: ribosomal RNA, 269 nt
Filed under: uncultured bacterium
Lineage: Bacteria
Description: partial 16S ribosomal RNA
Rfam family: Bacterial small subunit ribosomal RNA
Source: RNAcentral
UUGAUGGCGACCGGCAUUGGCUGCGGAACACGUACACAACCUUCCUACAAGUGGGGAAUAGCCCAGAGAAAUUUGGAUUAAUACCCCGUAACAUAGCGAUGUGGCAUCACAUUGCUAUUAUAGCUUCGGCGCUUGUUGAUGGGUGUGCGUAUGAUUAGAUAGUUGGCGAGGUAACGGCUCACCAAGUCUACGAUCAUUAGCUGAUGUGAGAGCAUGAUCAGCCACACGGGCACUGAGACACGGGCCCGACUCCUACGGGAGGCAGCAGU